RNAcentral lists this ribosomal RNA (670 nucleotides) under Curtobacterium citreum. RNAcentral's name for it is "bacterial SSU rRNA". It matches the Rfam family "Bacterial small subunit ribosomal RNA", at positions 94 to 777 of the family's 1533-position model. Lineage: Bacteria; Bacillati; Actinomycetota; Actinomycetes; Micrococcales; Microbacteriaceae. The record is from RNAcentral. RNAcentral also lists the same sequence under 1 other name.
AGUGGCGAACGGGUGAGUAACACGUGAGUAACCUGCCCCUGACUCUGGGAUAAGCGUUGGAAACGACGUCUAAUACUGGAUAUGACUGCCGGCCGCAUGGUCUGGUGGUGGAAAGAUUUUUUGGUUGGGGAUGGACUCGCGGCCUAUCAGCUUGUUGGUGAGGUAAUGGCUCACCAAGGCGACGACGGGUAGCCGGCCUGAGAGGGUGACCGGCCACACUGGGACUGAGACACGGCCCAGACUCCUACGGGAGGCAGCAGUGGGGAAUAUUGCACAAUGGGCGAAAGCCUGAUGCAGCAACGCCGCGUGAGGGAUGACGGCCUUCGGGUUGUAAACCUCUUUUAGUAGGGAAGAAGCGUAAGUGACGGUACCUGCAGAAAAAGCACCGGCUAACUACGUGCCAGCAGCCGCGGUAAUACGUAGGGUGCAAGCGUUGUCCGGAAUUAUUGGGCGUAAAGAGCUCGUAGGCGGUUUGUCGCGUCUGCUGUGAAAUCCCGAGGCUCAACCUCGGGCUUGCAGUGGGUACGGGCAGACUAGAGUGCGGUAGGGGAGAUUGGAAUUCCUGGUGUAGCGGUGGAAUGCGCAGAUAUCAGGAGGAACACCGAUGGCGAAGGCAGAUCUCUGGGCCGUAACUGACGCUGAGGAGCGAAAGCGUGGGGAGCGAACAGGA